CUUGACAUACUCGUGCUAUUCCUAGAGAUAGGAAGUUCCUUCGGGACACGGGAUACAGGUGGUGCAUGGUUGUCGUCAGCUCGUGUCGUGAGAUGUUGGGUUAAGUCCGCAACGAGCGCAACCCCUAUUGUUAGUUGCCAUCAUUAAGUUGGGCACUCUAACGAGACUGCCGGUGAUAAACCGGAGGAAGGUGGGGAUGACGUCAAAUCAUCAUGCCCCUUAUGACCUGGGCUACACACGUGCUACAAUGGAUGGUACAACGAGUCGCGAGACAGUGAUGUUUAGCUAAUCUCUUAAAACCAUUCUCAGUUCGGAUUGUAGGCUGCAACUCGCCUACAUGAAGUCGGAAUCGCUAGUAAUCGCGGAUCAGCACGCCGCGGUGAAUACGUUCCCGGGCCUUGUACACACCGCCCGUCACACCACGGGAGUUGGGAGUACCCGAAGUAGGUUGCCUAACCGCAAGGAGGGCGCUUCCUAAGGUAAGACCGAUGACUGGGGUGAAGUCGUAACAAGGUAGGCGUAGCGAG
RNAcentral lists this ribosomal RNA (527 nucleotides) under uncultured bacterium. Its description in RNAcentral is "bacterial SSU rRNA". It matches the Rfam family "Bacterial small subunit ribosomal RNA", at positions 980 to 1509 of the family's 1533-position model. The record is from RNAcentral.